GAGCUGGACUUUGUUCGCAUGAAGCAGAGGCUAAAGCUACGGAAAUCUUCCAAUGAUGCCAUAAAGUCUAAGUUACUUUUCGUUAUUCGCAUACAUGGAUCAAAGGAUAUGCAUCCCCGGACAAGACAAAUCUUAAAUAAGUUGCGGUUGAGACAUAUCUUAAGUGGUGUAUUUCUGAAAGCCAAUGAAGCAAAUUUGAGAAUGCUUCUGACCGUAGAACCGUUCAUUACUUAUGGUUAUCCUACUUUGAAAAGUGUGAGGGAGCUUGUUUACAAGAAGGGCUGUGGAAAUAUAGAAAAGGAGAGGACUCCUCUUACUGACAACAACGUCAUUGAGCAGGCACUUGGGAAGUAUGGUAUCAUCUGUCUUGAAGAUGUCGUGCAUGAGAUCGCCACAGUGGGAUCACAUUUCAAGGAGGUUACCAGCUUCCUGUGGCCAUUCAAGCUUAAAUGCCCAGAACGCAGAUUACAGAUGAAGAAAAAGCUCUACAAGGAGGGUGGCGAUGCAGGCAACCGUGAAGAUCACAUCAAUGAGCUCAUUGAUAAGCUGAACUAAGAGGGAUGAGCUUGUGGUGGUCCAUGUCAAGCAUGGAUGACAUCAAUUAAACUAGUUUUGCCAGACUUUUUAGCUUUUUAUGGCUUGGAAAAGUAUUUAGUGGAAAUCAGUAAUGUUGUAUUCCCUGGCAUCUUUUUGUUUUCUUCUUUUAACAUCAAAAUCAUAAUCGUCUUGUCUUUUUGACUCUUUUAACA
Musa acuminata AAA Group (dessert banana) is the source of this 749-nucleotide RNA transcript. It is a transcript of the gene named ribosomal protein L7 pseudogene, with no coding region annotated. NCBI's taxonomy places the organism in Eukaryota, Viridiplantae, Streptophyta, Magnoliopsida, Zingiberales, Musaceae. The record is from RefSeq and is marked validated.